RNAcentral lists this long non-coding RNA (201 nucleotides) under Lathyrus oleraceus (garden pea). RNAcentral's name for it is "Pisum sativum (pea) long non-coding RNA (PSAT_LNC037124)". Lineage: Eukaryota; Viridiplantae; Streptophyta; Magnoliopsida; Fabales; Fabaceae. The record is from RNAcentral.
UCUCACCCUUAUACCGGUCUUAGAUAUUCAUUCUUCCCGAGCAUGUUGUAUCUCACCCUCAUACCGACGAUCAGAUCACAUGUCUCCUUGAGCUUAUUACCCAGUAACCGGUAAUACCUCGUCCCACUGCUUCCCCAGGAGUGUCCUUUUAGGCAUCCCCAGCGAAGUCCCUUAGUGGAUUGUUUUCAUCCAGAUUUUUAU